RNAcentral lists this transfer RNA (69 nucleotides) under Cordylochernes scorpioides. Its description in RNAcentral is "tRNA-Gly". Lineage: Eukaryota; Metazoa; Arthropoda; Arachnida; Pseudoscorpiones; Chernetidae. The record is from RNAcentral.
GCUUUCGGUUCAGUGGUAGAAUGCUCGCCUGCCACGCGGGGGGCCCGAGUUCGAUUCCCGUCCGAUGCA